GUGAAAGAUUUGUAAGAAAUGUUUGAGGAAACUGAUUCAGUGUUUAACAUUAAGUCAGUUCCCUCAAACAUUUUACUACAAAUCCUUCAA
Molecule: non-coding RNA, 90 nt
Organism: Paramuricea clavata
Lineage: Eukaryota; Metazoa; Cnidaria; Anthozoa; Malacalcyonacea; Plexauridae
Source: the annotation of a GenBank genome assembly